AAACACCUUUAGCUGCGGCAUGGAUCGGGGAAAACACAAUCCAAUCCCCACCAAUCCACGGGAGAAAGAGGCAUCCCCAGUUGAGGGCGGGAACGGGAAUAGCUAGCUCUCGCGUUUUCCUCCCGCGAGUGACGCUUGCCCUUCUAGGCGAUUCCAGCAGCUCUCCUCCUCGGUGACUCAAAUCCGGCCUUCUCCUCCCUAGCAGCUGCAAAUCAAGUUCCCCGACGCAAUGAGGAGAUCGAAGGGGUGCUCCAGGAAACUUGUUCUGGGGUUCCCGUACUGCAGGGAUGAUGGGAGAUGACCGGUGACGGUGGGGUAGGGCGCCGCGAGGUGGAGCUCAGUGACGCCAUGGGUUUGAUAGAGAGAAAAUGGGAAGAAAAAAAAUUAGGGAUGGCAAGGAGGAGAACCAAACAACGUGGCCUAACCUCGUCAAAGCCAUGCUAGCUUGGCCUUGCUUAGCUAGCCUUGCCCAGCCUCCCCUAGAAAGACAACCAAGCAGACCCUCUAUCUCACACAUCUAGCACACGAGGACGAUACAAUGGUUGUGUGGUGUGCAGUGGUUGAUAUGCAGUGUUUGGCUUCUUAAUGCUCGCGUUCUAGGCAGUGACACAAGUUCUUCAAUAAUCUGGUACUACAAGUGUGUCGGUUGCUCAUUCUGUCAGAUGAUGCCAAGUGGAUCUUCAGAAAACUCUUCAGAACGAAACAUCCAUCCGAUUUCAGAUGUCAUGGAAUGCGUUAUCCUUUC
Molecule: long non-coding RNA, 745 nt
Organism: Phragmites australis (common reed)
Lineage: Eukaryota; Viridiplantae; Streptophyta; Magnoliopsida; Poales; Poaceae
Exons: 3
Source: RefSeq, a predicted model, not a curated record